RNAcentral lists this unclassified non-coding RNA (312 nucleotides) under fungal sp. Its description in RNAcentral is "partial internal transcribed spacer region". The stretch from base 1 to 46 matches the Rfam family "Eukaryotic small subunit ribosomal RNA", at positions 1786 to 1831 of the family's 1831-position model. The record is from RNAcentral. Lineage: Eukaryota; Fungi.
AAGUCGUAACAAGGUUUCCGUAGGUGAACCUGCGGAAGGAUCAUUACCAAUUCGAACCCUUGGCUUGUGCGGUGAGGGGGGGGGUGCGGUAACGCGCCUUUUUUCUCAUCGCGCAAACCAUUCAACCAACCUUUGAUUGUGAACUCUGGAACUAAAAAAGUCUUCCCUCGCGCCGCUGUGUGUGAGGGGAGCAAUUUUAUCCAACCCCACAAAAUAUCCACCAUGUGGAGAAAAAAGCAAGCGUUGAGCUCCGAAGAACAAAAGAACAAAAAAUGUCAUGUACAACUUUUAACGGCGGAUCUCUUGGCUCGU